CUGUAAAUACCUGAAAGAAAAUAAAUCUAUAUGUAGGAACCUGUUGCACUAGAGGUCCCAACACACCAGACCACUGCUACACUAUGGUAAGGAAUGCCUGUCUUUCUCUCCCGAGAACUCAUUUUGGUAAGUGGGAUCAUUUGGCUGUGCUCGUCCUACCUGCAUACAGACAUAGCCUAAAGAGCAAGACUCCAAAGAUCAAGAUAACCGAGAGGUGGCCAUGGGAGGCAGAGGAACAGUUACAGGAUUGCCUUGAGUCAGCAGACUGGACCAUGUUCAGGAACACAUCUGAAGGACCUGAACAACUACAGUGGUGUCAUUACAGACUUUACUAAAAUAGCUGUGGAUUCAAGUCUGGAGAUCAAGAAUGCUACAAGAAGUACAGGUGUAAUGUCUGCAAAGCCAUCUCUUGGGCAAAGUGGAGAUUCCAGACUAGGCUGGAAUAAAAGAGGGAUGCUCGACAGCUGUGGCAGGGUUUGAAUGCCAGAACCUCCUGCAAAGGUAAAUCUUGUGACAAAGGGGAGAGCAGAACCUCACUUCCAGCUGAGCUCGCUUUGACCACCAGAAGAGGGAGGAACCAUUACCCACCCCCAUGUCUCCCAAUGAUCAUUUGGUUUCAGUAUCUGAAGAUGACGUGCAGGCUGCCUUCAAGAGAGUGAAUGCAAGGAAAGGAUCUGAUUUGGAUGAGACCUUGCUGAGAACUGAACACGUGCUGGACAUCUUCAAGCUCUGGAUCUGGCAGUGUGUGGAACCCACCUACUUUAAGGAAGUUUCAAUCAUAUCUGUGCCCAACAGUAGCAUGGUAACCUGUUUAAAUGACUAUUGCCCAGUGGCACUUACAUCCACAGUAGUGAAAUGUUUUGAGAGGCUGGUGUUGAAGCAUAUCAGCUCUUGGCUGAAUGGUGACUUGGAUCUUCUCCAAUUCACCGAGCAAAGCAACAGGAGAUGCUGUCUUGUUGGCUCUAAACAUUAAAUAUUUAUAAGACCGAAGAGUCAAAUUAAAAAGUGAAUAUUACAGUCUGUAACACAACCAAUUCCCGAAGUUGAUUGGAAGAGUCACUGUUACUUGAAAUCCGCCUGCCCCCACCACCCCAUACUGAUUCUAUUGACAAUGCUAGCAGCUCCACUGAUUGACAGCUCCCUCUGCCACCUUUCCAGUCAUGUGAUUCACAAUCACAUGACACUUCAAGCUGACGACAUAGAGCUCCUACUGUCACUGACGUCGUUUCCCUGGAAAGGUUCCAGUACAGGGACGGUGUGGGAAGUCCGAGAUGGCGGAGUCAGUCUCUACUUGUUGGGGUUUCGGCUUCAUUGUGGGAAUCGGCCUCUCCUCUUCCUGCUCACGGAACAGUGAGUGUCUGUCAGUGCCUCACUGCACCGGCUCUCUCCCUCAGACUCCAGUACCUGAAGUGAAGUUAACUGGACUACAGUUACCUGCUUUAUCUUCCACGCUUCUUCAACAAUAGUUUUCAACUCCACUGGGAGUUUUCUGUAACACAACUGUUAAUCCUGUGACAUCGUUGGUGCCUGACUCCAUCGGUUUCUGCCUUUGCUCUGGAUUCAUCAACUGUGUGGAGAGCAGGAGCUCCUGCAUGGGCAACUGCUUGUUUUACGUUUCAUUCUACCCUGACUUGCAUAUUGACAUUGACAGCGAUAUCCAUGGUUGAUCCUGACCAGUGGAGGGCCAUCACCAACAUGUCUGUACAUGGCCUCCUCUCCUGCUACAAUGAGGCCAAGCACAGGUUAGAUGAGCAACACAUCAUACUCUGACUGUGUGGCCUCCAAUCUUGAUGGCAUGAACAUUGAUUUCUCCAAAUUCUGGAUAUCACUACCCUGUUUCUUCCCCACUUCUUGUCCCCCAUUCUGAUGCCAUUUAACCCCUUCACCUCCUCAUGCACCCUCAUGACACGCCCAUCAUAUCCGUCUGGUUCUCCACUUCAUUCGUGUCAUCCCAUGAUCCAGCGUCUCUCCUAUUUGAUUCCUUUCUCUUCAUCUCUGCCUUUUCUGCCUGUCACCCAGCUCCUCACAUCAUCAUCCCUCCACAAACCACAUGUCCCCCCCCCCACUCACGUCCUCCUCCCCCUCCCCCACCCAGUCCUCUCCCACUCCCCCACCACCUUGUUCUGGCUUUUGUCCCUUUCUUUCUCAUCGUGUUGAAGGAUCUCAGCCCGAAAUGUCGACUGUUUGCACAGUUCCUCCAGCACUGUGUACACGUUUGCUUCAGUCUAUGUAUUGAUUAAACUAGUCAAACUGGUACAGUGGAAGAGGAAUUUGUGGAGUGGUCAGAGACAGUUUCUUACGACAGUUUCUUAUGAUAGUUUCUUACAGCAGUGUCUUACUCAGGAACAGGCCAUUUCAGAUGUAAUCUGUGUAGUGAGGUGGGAUUAAAGAGAGAUCUUGUGCUGAAGGAUCCCUGAAGAAGUGAUCACAAUGUGGGAGAUCUCCAGAGCACAGAUUGAGGGUGAACACCAGAGCCCAGGUUUCAGAUCAGUUUUACUUCCACUGGAUGAGCUGCCAAGCAUGGCUGACGAACCGAUCUGCCCAUAGUGGUUGGCUAUAUGACACUAGUAAAGAGAUAUGCACCUUCCCCUGUCAUUAGAAACAGUUCUGUUGGGCUUAAUAGCUAAACCAUAUGUAAAAGUCCAGAGCUGGAUCUGGUUGACAGAGGCAAUUUGAGGCAGAACUCCAUUGGCAGCAUUUAAUGGGAAGUAGGAGCUUGUCCCAUUACCACCCGAUCAAUGGUUAAGACAGCUGUAAGUGAUCGAUAUGUUGGUAUGUGCAUGGGAAACUCAAUUGGAAUUAGUUGUCACCAGCAGAUCGUGGUUGUUGCAGCUCACAGAGCAAAGGUGCUCGAUGCAGUGGUACCCCAAUCAUAUCAAUCACAGUUCCAUUCUCAUCUCUCUUUGAUAUUUCUGCUUUUGUGCAUUAUCCUAAUGGGAGAAACACCUGAGGAUCUUGAGACCACUCCUCCACAUGUCUUCUUUCCCUCACCCUUUCACCAUCACUGUCCCUACCUGAUGUGCAUAUGAAAAUUAUUCAUGCCCCUUGGAAGUUUUCAUGUUUUAUUGUUUUACAAUAUUGAAUCACAGUGGAUUGAAUUUUGCUUUUUUUAUUGAUCAACAGAAAAAGGCUCUUCUGUCAAGUGAAAAUGGAUCUCUGCAAAGUGCUGUAAACUAAUUACAGAUAUAAAACACAAAAUAAUUGUCUGAAUAAGUAUUCACCCCCUUAAAUAUGACACACCAAAUCAUCACUGGUUCAGGCAAUUAGUUUUAGGAGUUACAUUACUUGGGAGUGUGGAGGAGCAGAGGGAUCUGGGGGUACAUGUUCACUGAUCUCUGGAAGUUGCCACACAGAUAGAUUCAGUGGUGGAGGCAGAUACACAGGUGAAAUUUAAGAGAAUACCAGACAGGUAUA
Hypanus sabinus (Atlantic stingray) is the source of this 3414-nucleotide long non-coding RNA. RefSeq lists it as uncharacterized. NCBI's taxonomy places the organism in Eukaryota, Metazoa, Chordata, Chondrichthyes, Myliobatiformes, Dasyatidae. The record is from RefSeq and is a predicted model, not a curated record. The transcript is spliced from 3 exons.